UGGCUCUCGCAUNGAUGAAGAACGCAGCGAAAUGCGAUAAGUAAUGUGAAUUGCAGAAUUCAGUGAAUCAUCGAAUCUUUGAACGCACCUUGCGCCCUCUGGUAUUCCGGAGGGCAUGCCUGUUUGAGUGUCAUGAACACCUCACCCCCUCGGGUUUCCGAUCGGGUGGAUUUGGGUGCUGCCAGUUACAUGGCUCGCCUUAAAAGCAUUAGCGGUUGUUGACGUAAUAAGUUUCGUCUUGUCGACCGCUCCUAAUCUCCUUCGGGAUGUCUCUAGGGACACUUCAUGAUCUGACCUCAAAUCAGGUAGGACUACCCGCUGA
RNAcentral lists this unclassified non-coding RNA (322 nucleotides) under uncultured fungus. Its description in RNAcentral is "partial contains 5.8S ribosomal RNA and internal transcribed spacer 2". The stretch from base 1 to 133 matches the Rfam family "5.8S ribosomal RNA", at positions 22 to 154 of the family's 154-position model. The record is from RNAcentral. Lineage: Eukaryota; Fungi.